CGGCGGACGGGUGAGUAACACGUGGGUAACCUACCUAUAAGACUGGGACAACUUCGGGAAACCGGAGCUAAUACCGGAUAAGAUAUCGAACCGCAUGGUUCGAUAGUGAAAGAUGGUUUUGCUAUCACUUAUAGAUGGACCCGCGCCGUAUUAGCUAGUUGGUGAGGUAACGGCUCACCAAGGCAACGAUACGUAGCCGACCUGAGAGGGUGAUCGGCCACACUGGAAAUGAGACACGGUCCAGACUCCUACGGGAGGCAGCAGCU
Molecule: ribosomal RNA, 266 nt
Filed under: uncultured Staphylococcus sp.
Lineage: Bacteria; Bacillati; Bacillota; Bacilli; Caryophanales; Staphylococcaceae
Description: partial 16S ribosomal RNA
Rfam family: Bacterial small subunit ribosomal RNA
Source: RNAcentral